UCUGUGAGGGAGAGGAGGACACCGAGCUGCUCCCACACAGCUCCACAGAGACAGGACUCUACCUUAUAGCAGCCUUUUGACUCUUUCACUCGUUAGUCGACUCUUCUAUCGGAUGAGAAAAUCAAACCAGGCUCUGUUAAAACUGCUAAAAGGGAAAAUCCCGUAGAAUCAGUCGGUGGAUAUUGCGCACAGUGGAGUGCAGCGAACCUGAUGUGCAAGAAAAUGUCGGCAAUGAAGUUUGCAGCGACUCACAAUGAAGACAAACUGCCACCAGACAGGAAGAGGAGCUGCAGUCCACCUGGAGAUAGAAACAUGGGUGGGUGGUUGGAAGGCUGGAUAAAGGCUGGUAGAUGACUGACUCGGAGACCCAGCGCAGUUCAUCAUCAUUGCCACGGGCUCUCGUCUUCCUCCUCUCCUCCACUGGCCCGCACCUCCAUCCAAGGGUCCAGCAGAGCCAGUGAAGCCCAGGCGGGGGGCUGGUGAGUGGGCCGGGAAGGAUGGAGAAGGUCCCUGAAGGCUCAAAGCACCUCUGGAGCUACCGUCAUGCAGGAGAAAUCAAUAUGAAACACAGAGGCUGCCCAGCUCUGAGUGGGGUUUCCUGCGUUAGUCUGUGGCCUAGGGGCCCGCAGACCUCCAAAGGACAGGCCCUGCGUGCCCCUCUCAGCUGCAGCCCUGGCACCUAAGACUGGACCUCAAUUCAUGAUCUCCACUGGCUGUGUGUGGUUCUGCUGAAGGGGAUCUCUCCCCAAAUAAUACCCAAUACCCAUAAUGCUGAAAGACUGCCGAGAGGGGUAUUCCUUUCUCUUGAUUUGUCUUUCCUUCAUAAGAUUGACAUAUCCCCCAUUCUCUGCCUCUGGCUGUUUAGAAACCAGUUUGGGAGUUCACGUUUUGACUCACUCUCCAUCCUCCACCCGCCCCCUGUUUAUUCACCGACAAAUUUUUCACAUUUGAAAAAGAGACAUUGUUGUCUUUAUUUCCUCCUCCUCUCAUGGUUUGCUGUUACUAUGGUGAGCCACGGUCAUGUGUCUGUUCAAACCAGCAACACCGGCACAUGAUCUUUCUCCAAGAUAUUAUUCAAUCCCAGACUGAUUAAAAAAACUGACUGAACGUGAAGAUGGCUGAAGAUCACAGAGCAGAGAGGUUUCCCCACCUUACAGUGGAAAUGGUU
Molecule: long non-coding RNA, 1168 nt
Organism: Platichthys flesus (European flounder)
Lineage: Eukaryota; Metazoa; Chordata; Actinopteri; Pleuronectiformes; Pleuronectidae
Exons: 3
Source: RefSeq, a predicted model, not a curated record